This 301-nucleotide ribosomal RNA is filed under the name uncultured bacterium. Its description in RNAcentral is "partial 16S ribosomal RNA". It matches the Rfam family "Bacterial small subunit ribosomal RNA", at positions 509 to 807 of the family's 1533-position model. The record is from RNAcentral.
CAGCAGCCGCGGUAAUACGUAGGGUGCGAGCGUUAAUCGGAAUUACUGGGCGUAAAGCGUGCGCAGGCGGUUGUGUAAGACAGGUGUGAAAUCCCCGGGCUUAACCUGGGAACUGCGCUUGUGACUGCACAGCUAGAGUAUGGCAGAGGGGGGUGGAAUUCCACGUGUAGCAGUGAAAUGCGUAGAGAUGUGGAGGAACACCGAUGGUGAAGGCAGCCCCCUGGGCCAAUACUGACGCUCAUGCACGAAAGCGUGGGGAGCAAACAGGAUUAGAUACCCCUGUAGUCCCUGUCUCUUAUAC